RNAcentral lists this ribosomal RNA (484 nucleotides) under uncultured bacterium. RNAcentral describes it as "partial 16S ribosomal RNA". It matches the Rfam family "Bacterial small subunit ribosomal RNA", at positions 29 to 507 of the family's 1533-position model. The record is from RNAcentral.
AGUGAACGCUGGCGGCAGGCCUAACACAUGCAAGUCGAGCGGCAGCGCGGGGGCAACCCUGGCGGCGAGCGGCGGACGGGUGAGGAAUUCGUCGGAAUCUGCCUUUUUGUGGGGGAUAACGUAGGGAAACUUACGCUAAUACCGCAUACGUCCUACGGGAGAAAGUGGGGGACCGCAAGGCCUCACGCAGAAAGAUGAGCCGACGACCGAUUAGCUAGUUGGUGGGGUAAAGGCCCACCAAGGCGACGAUCGGUAGCUGGUCUGAGAGGAUGAUCAGCCACACUGGGACUGAGACACGGCCCAGACUCCUACGGGAGGCAGCAGUGGGGAAUAUUUGACAAUGGGCGCAAGCCUGAUCCAGCCAUGCCGCGUGUGUGAAGAAGGCCUUCGGGUUGUAAAGCACUUUUGUCCGGAAAGAAAUCCCUGGAGCUAAUACCUUCGGGGGAUGACGGUACCGGAAGAAUAAGCACCGGCUAACUUCGUG